CAUUGCAGCAAGUGCCAAUGUCCCAAUCCACAGCCCAUCCAUUAACAGAAGUGUGAUUUCACUGUUUUGGAGUAUCAGAACCCGAUAGCUCCCGAGAGUUCUACAUUGUCCUUUUGGGUUUUCUUUCUUUCCUUCUGAGAAGGGGACACGGGAAAGGGUCCCCGACUUCAGCGCGCUAAACUGAACCAUCCUUUUAAGUCAGUCUCGGAGGCGUCCUCUCGCCAGCAACAGGACAGAAUUGUACCGUCCAAAUAAUUUGUCAUCAGUGGCCAACAAAUCAUAGGUUCCACUUUGGGCAUUUGGAAAGGACUCCUACAGUCAUUUACCUGUUCCUGAUUUCGAAGGAACUCAAGUGAUACUCAAUCAGACAUAAACUUGAAAAAUCACGUGUAAUGUGGCCCUUGACCAGUAUGUGGGGAUAUGUUC
Molecule: long non-coding RNA, 426 nt
Organism: Fukomys damarensis (Damara mole-rat)
Lineage: Eukaryota; Metazoa; Chordata; Mammalia; Rodentia; Bathyergidae
Exons: 3
Source: RefSeq, a predicted model, not a curated record